Molecule: ribosomal RNA, 254 nt
Filed under: uncultured bacterium
Lineage: Bacteria
Description: partial 16S ribosomal RNA
Rfam family: Bacterial small subunit ribosomal RNA
Source: RNAcentral
CAGAGGGUGCAAGCGUUAAUCGGAAUUACUGGGCGUAAAGCGCGCGUAGGUGGUUACUUAAGUCAGAUGUGAAAGCCCCGGGCUUAACCUGGGAACUGCAUCUGAUACUGGGUGACUAGAGUAGGUGAGAGGGGAGUAGAAUUCCAGGUGUAGCGGUGAAAUGCGUAGAGAUCUGGAGGAAUACCGAUGGCGAAGGCAGCUCCCUGGCAUCAUACUGACACUGAGGUGCGAAAGCGUGGGUAGCAAACAGGAUU